UAGGGAAUCUUCGGCAAUGGACGAAAGUCUGACCGAGCAACGCCGCGUGAGUGAAGAAGGUUUUCGGAUCGUAAAACUCUGUUGUUUGAGAAGAACAAGGACGUUAGUAACUGAACGUCCCCUGACGGUAUCUAACCAGAAAGCCACGGCUAACUACGUGCCAGCAGCCGCGGUAAUACGUAGGUGGCAAGCGUUGUCCGGAUUUAUUGGGCGUAAAGCGAGCGCAGGCGGUUUCUUAAGUCUGAUGUGAAAGCCCCCGGCUCAACCGGGGAGGGUCAUUGGAAACUGGGAGACUUGAGUGCAGAAGAGGAGGGUGGAAUUCCAUGUGUAGCGGUGAAAUGCGUAGAUAUAUGGAGGAACACCAGUGGCGAAGGCUGCUCUCUGGUCUGUAACUGACGCUGAGGCUCGAAAGCGUGGGGAGCAAACAGG
RNAcentral lists this ribosomal RNA (429 nucleotides) under Gemmatimonadota bacterium. RNAcentral describes it as "Gemmatimonadetes bacterium partial 16S ribosomal RNA". It matches the Rfam family "Bacterial small subunit ribosomal RNA", at positions 355 to 776 of the family's 1533-position model. Lineage: Bacteria; Pseudomonadati; Gemmatimonadota. The record is from RNAcentral.